This is a ribosomal RNA of 1008 nucleotides. It matches the Rfam family "Bacterial small subunit ribosomal RNA". The record is from Rfam.
CAGCAGGAGGAUAUGUCAAUGUCUACGACUGAACCAGUACUGGAAGAAUGUAUGUAUAUAUUAUACAUAACGAUUAUUCGUAUAAAAUUCUAAAUAGGAUAAUGAUAAUGACAAUUCCUAUUUAUAAGUCUGACCAAAUUACGUGCCAGCAGUCGCGGUAAUACGUAGAAGACUAGUGUUAGUCAUCUUUAUUAGGUUUAAAGGGUACCUAGACGGUAAAUAACACUUAAAUAGAGUAUUUAUUUACUAGAGUUUUAUAAGAGAAGGAAGAACUUCUGGAGUAGUGAUAAAAUAUGUUGAUACCAGAGGGACUGGUAACGGCGAAGGCAUCCUUCUAUGUAAAAACUGACGUUGAGGGACGAAGGCUUGGGUAGCAAUAAGGAUUAGAUACCCUAGUAGUCCAAGCAGAAAAUGAUGAAUGUCAUAGACUAGAUAAAAAUUUAGUCUAUAAAUGAAAGUGUAAGCAUUCCACCUCAAGAGUACUAUGGCAACAUAUAAACUGAAAUCAUUAGACCGUUUCUGAAACCAGUAGUGAAGUAUGUUAUUUAAUUCGAUAAUCCGCGAAUAACCUUACCACAAUUUGAAUAUAUUAAGUUAUUACAAGCGCUGCACGGCUGUCUUUAGUUAAUGUCGUGAGAUCUGGUUAACUCCUAAAAUUAACGAAAACCCUCAUUUUAUUUGUAUAUAUAAAGUGGUUCUCCAGUAUAGUGGAAAGAUAAAAGGGAUUAAGACAAGUCAUCAUGGCCUAAAUAUUGUGGGCUAUAGACGUGCCACAUAUGCCUCUACAAAGGGAUGCUAUAUUGCGAAAUGGAGCUAAUCCCCAAAAUUGGAUAUAAUAUGGAUUGUUGUCUGUAAUUCGACAGCAUGAAUAAGGAAUUACUAGUAAUCGUGAAUCACCAUCGUCACGGUGAAUCUAAUCUCAGCUAGGUACUAACCACUCGUCAGGCGCUGAAAGGAGUAUGUGCAAUAAGUUUGGUUUGUUUAUAUAUUAAUAUACAUGAUUCUUGA